RNAcentral lists this unclassified non-coding RNA (377 nucleotides) under fungal sp. Its description in RNAcentral is "partial internal transcribed spacer region". The stretch from base 1 to 46 matches the Rfam family "Eukaryotic small subunit ribosomal RNA", at positions 1786 to 1831 of the family's 1831-position model. Lineage: Eukaryota; Fungi. The record is from RNAcentral.
AAGUCGUAACAAGGUUUCCGUAGGUGAACCUGCGGAAGGAUCAUUAACACGUAUCCAAACGUUAAACAACCCCGUGAACAUACAACCUGCUCUGGUCGCCCGCUCGCAUGGACAAGCCCAGUAAAUCAACUGACAGCGAUUCAUAGAAGCGGUAGGUCAAGUGACACGGCGUCCCCAAGUGACCAGUGAAUGAAAGUGUCGCUGGAGCGUCAAGGACGACUCUUCAAGAUUGCUAGAGGUCGACCACCGACCGGCUUCCGUGUAUACCGAGCUAACACCGCUCCCUUCCGAACCCCACUUUAUUGCCUUGCCUGUAAGCAUCCAUACGGAUGGGCAGGCCCCCCGAACAACUGUUAACAAUGGAUAUCUUGGUUCUC